CCUACGGGAGGCAGCAGUGAGGAAUUUUGCGCAAUGGGGGAAACCCUGACGCAGCAACGCCGCGUGGGUGAAGAAGGCUUUCGGGUCGUAAAGCCCUGUCAGGUGGGAAGAAACUCUUCAGUACUAAUAAUGCUGAAGCCUGACGGUACCACCAGAGGAAGCACCGGCCAACUCCGUGCCAGCAGCCGCGGUAAUACGGAGGGUGCAAGCGUUGUUCGGAAUUAUUGGGCGUAAAGAGCGUGUAGGUGGCUUGGUAAGUCAGAUGUGAAAGCCCUGGGCUCAACCCAGGAAGUGCAUUUGAAACUACCAGACUUGAGUACGGGAGAGGAGGGGGGAAUUCCCGGUGUAGAGGUGAAAUUCGUAGAUAUCGGGAGGAAUACCGGUGGCGAAGGCGCCCCUCUGGACCGAUACUGACGCUGAGACGCGAAAGCGUGGGGAGCAAACAGGAUUAGAUACCCUGGUAGUCCACGCCGUAAACGAUGAGCACUAGGUGUAGCGGGUAUUGACCCCUGCUGUGCCGUAGCUAACGCAUUAAGUGCUCCGCCUGGGGACUACGGUCGCAAGACUAAAACUCAAAGGAAUUGACGG
RNAcentral lists this ribosomal RNA (588 nucleotides) under uncultured delta proteobacterium. RNAcentral's name for it is "bacterial SSU rRNA". It matches the Rfam family "Bacterial small subunit ribosomal RNA", at positions 338 to 916 of the family's 1533-position model. The record is from RNAcentral. Lineage: Bacteria; Deltaproteobacteria.